RNAcentral lists this unclassified non-coding RNA (199 nucleotides) under plant metagenome. Its description in RNAcentral is "partial contains small subunit ribosomal RNA and internal transcribed spacer 1". The stretch from base 1 to 46 matches the Rfam family "Eukaryotic small subunit ribosomal RNA", at positions 1786 to 1831 of the family's 1831-position model. The record is from RNAcentral.
AAGUCGUAACAAGGUCUCCGUAGGUGAACCUGCGGAGGGAUCAUUACUGAGUUCGGGGGGCAAUCCCAGUCCCGACCUCCAACCCUUUGUGAACAAAUCUUGUUGCUUCGGGGGCGACCCUGCCGUUCGCGGCAUUCCCCCCGGGAGGUCAUCAAAACACUGCAUUAUUACGUCGGAGUAAAAAGUUAAUUUAAUAAAA